RNAcentral lists this ribosomal RNA (492 nucleotides) under uncultured bacterium. RNAcentral's name for it is "partial 16S ribosomal RNA". It matches the Rfam family "Bacterial small subunit ribosomal RNA", at positions 29 to 507 of the family's 1533-position model. The record is from RNAcentral.
AGUGAACGCUGGCGGUAGGCCUAACACAUGCAAGUCGAACGGCAGCACAGUAAGAGCUUGCUCUUACGGGUGUCGAGUGGCGGACGGUCGAGGAAUACAUCGGAAUCUACUUUUUCGUGGGGGAUAACGUAGGGAAACUUACGCUAAUACCGCAUACGACCUACGGGUGAAAGCAGGGGAUCUUCGGACCUUGCGCGAUUGAAUGAGCCGAUGUCGGAUUAGCUAGUUGGCGGGGUAAAGGCCCACCAAGGCGACGAUCCGUAGCUGGUCUGAGAGGAUGAUCAGACACACUGGAACUGAGACACGGUCCAGACUCCUACGGGAGGCAGCAGUGGGGAAUAUUGGACAAUGGGCGCAAGCCUGAUCCAGCCAUACCGCGUGGGUGAAGAAGGCCUUCGGGUUGUAAAGCCCUUUUGUUGGGAAAGAAAAGCAGCAGGUUAAUACCCCGCUGUUCUGACGGUACCCAAAGAAUAAGCACCGGCUAACUUCGUG